GUGCCAGCCGCCGCGGUAAGACGUAGGGCGCGAGCGUUGUCCGGAUUUAUUGGGCGUAAAGAGCUCGUAGGCGGCUCAUCGCGUCGUGCGUGAAAAUCCACCGCUCAACGGUGGACUUGCGUACGAUACGGGUGGGCUGGAGUUCGGUAGGGGAGACUGGAAUUCCUGGUGUAGCGGUGAAAUGCGCAGAUAUCAGGAGGAACACCGGUGGCGAAGGCGGGUCUCUGGGCCGAUACUGACGCUGAGGAGCGAAAGCGUGGGGAGCGAACAGGAUUAGAUACCCGAGUAGUCC
Molecule: ribosomal RNA, 292 nt
Filed under: uncultured bacterium
Lineage: Bacteria
Description: partial 16S ribosomal RNA
Rfam family: Bacterial small subunit ribosomal RNA
Source: RNAcentral